UAAUGGCCAGUUCCUCAGCUUGUUCUCUCUCUGACACUGCCAUGAUCCAGUCUACCACUUAAUGGGGGGUGUUGGGUCGUAGAAGGCGAGUCGUUCUUUCACCCGUCAGGAUAGCUCAUCAGAGGUCAUCUGGGGUGUCAGGAAACUGGCUGGGUCAUUGGUUGGAUUGGGUGAUCCAUCCUGAUCUAGGUUCACUAGAGCUGCAAUUAGUUCAGGUUUCUUUAGUCUCUCUGGCUCUUGUCCCUUUUCCGCCAUUAGUUCUUGUAGGGAGGCUACAGUUAAUUGCCUGUAGUUCUCUGCCAUCUUUGUCUCUGUUGGCUUUCCGCUGAAAUUCCUUGCUGAACUUGGUUUGUAUGGAGCAUCCCACUUCCA
Molecule: non-coding RNA, 372 nt
Organism: Pelobates cultripes (western spadefoot toad)
Lineage: Eukaryota; Metazoa; Chordata; Amphibia; Anura; Pelobatidae
Source: the annotation of a GenBank genome assembly